Acanthosepion pharaonis is the source of this 113-nucleotide non-coding RNA. The record is from the annotation of a GenBank genome assembly. NCBI's taxonomy places the organism in Eukaryota, Metazoa, Mollusca, Cephalopoda, Sepiida, Sepiidae.
UACAACCAUAUCAUGUUGAAACACUGAUUCUCAUACAAUCACCAAAGUUAAGCAAUGUCAAGCCUGGUCAGUACCUAGAUGGGUGACCACUUGGGAAUACCAAGUGCUGUAAU